UCAGGAUGAACGCUAGCGGCAGGCUUAACACAUGCAAGUCGAGGGGCAACGCGAGUAGCAAUACUUGGCGGCGACCGGCGCAAGGGUGCGUAACGCGUGAGCAACAUGCCCGUAUCAGGGGGAUAAUCCAGGGAACUUGGUCUAAUACCCCAUAGUAAUUUUGUAAGGCAUCUUAUAAGAUUUAAAGCUUUGGUGGAUACGGAUUGGCUCGCGUGACAUUAGCUGGAUGGUAAGGUAACGGCUUACCAUGGCUAUGAUGUCUAGGGGUUCUGAGAGGAAGGUCCCCCACACUGGAACUGAGACACGGUCCAGACUCCUACGGGAGGCAGCAGUGAGGAAUAUUGGACAAUGGAUGGAAAUCUGAUCCAGCCAUGCCGCCGUGAAGGAAGAAGGUCCUAUGGAUUGUAAACUUCUUUUGUAUGGGAGCAAUAAGGCCUACGAGUAGGUUGAUGAGAGUACCAUACGAAUAAGCACCGGCUAACUCCGUGCCAGCCGCCGC
Molecule: ribosomal RNA, 499 nt
Filed under: uncultured bacterium
Lineage: Bacteria
Description: bacterial SSU rRNA
Rfam family: Bacterial small subunit ribosomal RNA
Source: RNAcentral